This 554-nucleotide ribosomal RNA is filed under the name uncultured bacterium. RNAcentral's name for it is "bacterial SSU rRNA". It matches the Rfam family "Bacterial small subunit ribosomal RNA", at positions 58 to 597 of the family's 1533-position model. The record is from RNAcentral.
CAAGUCGAGGGGCAGCGGUGGUGAAGGCUUGCCUUUACCAGCCGGCGACCGGCGCACGGGUGAGUAACACGUAUGCAACCUGCCUGCCACAGCCGGAUAAUCGGGAGAAAUUCCGUCUAAUACGGCAUAAUGCACCUAUGGGACAUCCUGUUGGUGCCAAAGGUUAAUUCCGGUGGCGGAUGGGCAUGCGUCGCAUUAGUUAGUUGGCGGUGUAACGGACCACCAAGACGACGAUGCGUAGGGGUUCUGAGAGGAAGGUCCCCCACACUGGCGCUGAGACACGGACCAGACUCCUACGGGAGGCAGCAGUGAGGAAUAUUGGUCAAUGGGCGGGAGCCUGAACCAGCCAAGUCGCGUGAGGGAUGACGGCCCUAUGGGUUGUAAACCUCUUUUGCCGGGGAGCAAAGUGCCGCACGUGUGCGGUUUGGAGAGUACCCGGAGAAAAAGCAUCGGCUAACUCCGUGCCAGCAGCCGCGGUAAUACGGAGGAUGCGAGCGUUAUCCGGAUUUAUUGGGUUUAAAGGGUGCGUAGGCGGACGCUUAAGUCAGCGGUAA